UGGGAAUUUGGACAAUGGGCGAAAGCCUGAUCCAGCAAUGCCGCGUGUGUGAAGAAGGCCUUCGGGUUGUAAAGCACUUUUGUCCGGAAAGAAAUCCUUGGCUCUAAUACAGUCGGGGGAUGACGGUACCGGAAGAAUAAGCACCGGCUAACUACGUGCCAGCAGCCGCGGUAAUACGUAGGGUGCAAGCGUUAAUCGGAAUUACUGGGCGUAAAGCGUGCGCAGGCGGUUUGCUAAGACCGAUGUGAAAAUCCCCGGGCUCAACCUGGGAACUGCAUUGGUGACUGGCAGGCUAGAGUAUGGCAGAGGGGGGUAGAAUUCCACGUGUAGCAGUGAAAUGCGUAGAGAUGUGGAGGAAUACCGAUGGCGAAGGCAGCCCCCUGGGCCAAUACUGACGCUCAUGCACGAAAGCGUGGGGAGCAAACAGGAUUAGAUACCCUGGUAGUCCACGCCCUAAACGAUGUCAACUAGUUGUUGGGGAUUCAUUCCUUAGUAACGUAGCUAACGCGUGAAGUUGACCGCCUGGGGAGUACGGUCGCAAGAUUAAAACUUAAAUGAAUUGACGGGGUCAUAGCUG
This 577-nucleotide ribosomal RNA is filed under the name uncultured bacterium. Its description in RNAcentral is "partial 16S ribosomal RNA". It matches the Rfam family "Bacterial small subunit ribosomal RNA", at positions 357 to 932 of the family's 1533-position model. The record is from RNAcentral.